UACGUAGGGUGCAAGCGUUAAUCGGAAUUACUGGGCGUAAAGCGUCCGCAGGUGGUUAUGUAAGUCUGAUGUGAAAUCCCCGAGCUUAACUUGGGCAUUGCAUUGGAAACUACAAAACUAGAGUACGGCAGAGGGGGGUAGAAUUCCACAUGUAGCAGUGAAAUGCGUAGAUAUGUGGAGGAAUACCGAUGGCGAAGGCAGCCCCCUGGGCUAAUACUGACACUCAUGGACGAAAGCGUGGGGAGCAAACAGG
Molecule: ribosomal RNA, 253 nt
Filed under: uncultured bacterium
Lineage: Bacteria
Description: partial 16S ribosomal RNA
Rfam family: Bacterial small subunit ribosomal RNA
Source: RNAcentral